UACAGAGGUCCCGAGCGUUGUUCGGAUUCACUGGGCGUAAAGCGCGUGUAGGCGGUCCGGUAAGUCGGUUGCGAAAGUCCAGGGCUCAACCCUGGGAUGCCGACCGAUACUGUCGGACUAGAGUUCGGAAGAGGCGAGUGGAAUUCCCGGUGUAGCGGUGAAAUGCGCAGAUAUCGGGAGGAACACCAAUGGCGAAGGCAGCUCGCUGGGACGUUACUGACGCUGAGACGCGAAAGCGUGGGGAGCAAACAGG
Molecule: ribosomal RNA, 253 nt
Filed under: uncultured bacterium
Lineage: Bacteria
Description: partial 16S ribosomal RNA
Rfam family: Bacterial small subunit ribosomal RNA
Source: RNAcentral